Molecule: ribosomal RNA, 501 nt
Filed under: uncultured bacterium
Lineage: Bacteria
Description: partial 16S ribosomal RNA
Rfam family: Bacterial small subunit ribosomal RNA
Source: RNAcentral
AUUGAACGCUGGCGGCAUGCCUUACACAUGCAAGUCGAACGGCAGCACGGGUGCUUGCACCUGGUGGCGAGUGGCGAACGGGUGAGUAAUACAUCGGAACGUACCUUAUCGUGGGGGAUAACGCAGCGAAAGCUGUGCUAAUACCGCAUACGCCCUGAGGGGGAAAGCGGGGGAUCGCAAGACCUCGCGCGAUUAGAGCGGCCGAUGCCUGAUUAGCUUGUUGGUGGGGUAAAAGCCCACCAAGGCGACGAUCAGUAGCUGGUCUGAGAGGACGAUCAGCCACACGGGGACUGAGACACGGCCCAGACUCCUACGGGAGGCAGCAGUGGGGAAUUGUGGACAAUGGGGGCAACCCUGAUCCAGCAAUGCCGCGUGAGUGAAGAAGGCCUUCGGGUUGUAAAGCUCUUUUGUCAGGGAAGAAACACCGGCUCUAACACAGUCCGGGAACGACGGUACCUGAAGAAUAAGCACCGGCUAACUACGUGCCAGCCGCCGCAGUAA